Molecule: ribosomal RNA, 617 nt
Filed under: Acinetobacter indicus
Lineage: Bacteria; Pseudomonadati; Pseudomonadota; Gammaproteobacteria; Moraxellales; Moraxellaceae
Description: bacterial SSU rRNA
Rfam family: Bacterial small subunit ribosomal RNA
Source: RNAcentral
CUUGUGACCUUGCGCUAAUAGAUGAGCCUAAGUCGGAUUAGCUAGUUGGUGGGGUAAAGGCCUACCAAGGCGACGAUCUGUAGCGGGUCUGAGAGGAUGAUCCGCCACACUGGGACUGAGACACGGCCCAGACUCCUACGGGAGGCAGCAGUGGGGAAUAUUGGACAAUGGGGGGAACCCUGAUCCAGCCAUGCCGCGUGUGUGAAGAAGGCCUUUUGGUUGUAAAGCACUUUAAGCGAGGAGGAGGCGCUCUAGGAUAAUACCCUAGAUGCGUGGACGUUACUCGCAGAAUAAGCACCGGCUAACUCUGUGCCAGCAGCCGCGGUAAUACAGAGGGUGCGAGCGUUAAUCGGAUUUACUGGGCGUAAAGCGCGCGUAGGUGGCUAAUUAAGUCAAAUGUGAAAUCCCCGAGCUUAACUUGGGAAUUGCAUUCGAUACUGGUUAGCUAGAGUAUGGGAGAGGAUGGUAGAAUUCCAGGUGUAGCGGUGAAAUGCGUAGAGAUCUGGAGGAAUACCGAUGGCGAAGGCAGCCAUCUGGCCUAAUACUGACACUGAGGUGCGAAAGCAUGGGGAGCAAACAGGAUUAGAUACCCUGGUAGUCCAUGCCGUAAACGAUGU